UUGGUGUCUUAAGAUAUAUUUUCUUAGAGAGACGUAUACCAUGACUUGCAAGCAGGUAAUCUCUCUUGCCUUCAUAUUUGUUGGUGUAGAAUUCCAUCGAUGCCGGAGAAGCUGGAGUCGAGGGGAUCACGGCCACCGUCGGGACCUGCAAAGAAAGUCUAAACCAGAGUUGGGGGUGCUCUGGCAAGACCCUCCGACGCUCAAGUCAGUACUCUGCUUCAACAGAAAUGGAGCACUCGAAUGGGAUUUUAGCAAAGUUUAGAGAUAGUGC
This 271-nucleotide long non-coding RNA is filed under the name Elaeis guineensis (African oil palm). RNAcentral describes it as "long non-coding RNA (EGUI_LNC001067)". Lineage: Eukaryota; Viridiplantae; Streptophyta; Magnoliopsida; Arecales; Arecaceae. The record is from RNAcentral.